GCACUGCUGACGAGUCCCCAAAACAGGACGAAAUAACUGUCCAGUAC
Echinostoma caproni is the source of this 47-nucleotide non-coding RNA. Lineage: Eukaryota; Metazoa; Platyhelminthes; Trematoda; Plagiorchiida; Echinostomatidae. The record is from Rfam.